RNAcentral lists this transfer RNA (84 nucleotides) under Lentinula raphanica. Its description in RNAcentral is "tRNA-Gln". It matches the Rfam family "tRNA". From Rfam's summary of the family: Transfer RNA (tRNA) molecules are approximately 80 nucleotides in length. Lineage: Eukaryota; Fungi; Basidiomycota; Agaricomycetes; Agaricales; Omphalotaceae. The record is from RNAcentral.
GGUCCAAUAGUGUAGAGGUUAUCACAUGGGAUUCUGAUUCCUGUUGGAUUUCCCAUGACCCAGGUUCGAGUCCUGGUUGGACCU